CGAAAGCCAAUGAUGAGAAAGAGUACACCUUAAAGCAAUGUCCUAGAGAGUCAGUGUUGGUGGGAACUGAUACAGAACUUGAGGUGGAAUGGGUCUCUGAGGCGCGAUCCGAAAGGCGUCAAGCUAAGUAGAUGAGCCGGGGGUUUCCCGUUACAGAAACACGGAUAUCGAGAGCACAUUUUUAAUUCUCUCCGCAUCCGAUUGAAGUAAAAUUAAGGUGGCACCACGGAAGUUAAACUUUCUGUCCUUUGC
Molecule: non-coding RNA, 252 nt
Filed under: Desulfitobacterium metallireducens
Lineage: Bacteria; Bacillati; Bacillota; Clostridia; Eubacteriales; Desulfitobacteriaceae
Description: T-box sequence
Rfam family: T-box leader
About the family: Uncharged tRNA acts as the effector for transcription antitermination of genes in the T-box leader family.
Source: RNAcentral